This 501-nucleotide ribosomal RNA is filed under the name uncultured Bacillota bacterium. Its description in RNAcentral is "bacterial SSU rRNA". It matches the Rfam family "Bacterial small subunit ribosomal RNA", at positions 533 to 1032 of the family's 1533-position model. The record is from RNAcentral. Lineage: Bacteria; Bacillati; Bacillota.
GGCAAGCGUUGUCCGGAAUUAUUGGGCGUAAAGGGCUCGCAGGCGGUUUCUUAAGUCUGAUGUGAAAGCCCCCGGCUCAGCCGGGGAGGGUCAUUGGAAACUGGGAAACUUGAGUGCAAAAGAGGAGAGUGGAAUUCCACGUGUAGCGGUGAAAUGCGUAGAGAUGUGGAGGAACACCAGUGGCGAAGGCGACUCUCUGGUCUGUAACUGACGCUGAGGAGCGAAAGCGUGGGGAGCGAACAGGAUUAGAUACCCUGGUAGUCCACGCCGUAAACGAUGAGUGCUAAGUGUUAGAGGGUUUCCGCCCUUUAGUGCUGCAGCUAACGCAUUAAGCACUCCGCCUGGGGAGUACGGCCGCAAGGCUGAAACUCAAAGGAAUUGACGGGGGCCCGCACAAGCGGUGGAGCAUGUGGUUUAAUUCGAAGCAACGCGAAGAACCUUACCAGGGCUUGACAUCCCGCUGACCGGUGCAGAGAUGCACCCUUCCUUCGGGACAGCGGU